AAACCAACAGGGAUUGCCUCAGUAACGGCGAGUGAAGCGGCAAAAGCUCAAAUUUGAAAUCUGGCGUCUUUGGCGUCCGAGUUGUAAUUUGAAGAUGGCAACUUUGGGUCUGGUGCUUGUCUAAGUUCCUUGGAACAGGACGUCAUAGAGGGUGAGAAUCCCGUAUGAUGAGAGAGCCAGAUCUUUGUAAAGUGCCUUCGAAGAGUCGAGUUGUUUGGGAAUGCAGCUCUAAGUGGGUGGUAAAUUCCAUCUAAAGCUAAAUAUUGGCGAGAGACCGAUAGCGAACAAGUACAGUGAUGGAAAGAUGAAAAGAACUUUGAAAAGAGAGUGAAAAAGUACGUGAAAUUGUUGAAAGGGAAGGGUUUGAGAUCAGACAUGGUAUUUUGUACACCUUCUCUCUCGGGAGGGGGCCUCUGCAGUUUACUGGGCCAGCAUCAGUUUGGACGGUAGGAUAAUGAUUAAGGAAUGUGGCUCUUCUUCGGGAGAGUGUUAUAGCCUUGGUUGAUACUGCCUGUCUAGACUGAGGACCGCGUCUUUGACUAGGAUGUUGGCAUAAUGAUCUUAAGCCA
This 569-nucleotide ribosomal RNA is filed under the name Millerozyma koratensis. RNAcentral describes it as "eukaryotic LSU rRNA". It matches the Rfam family "Eukaryotic large subunit ribosomal RNA", at positions 62 to 647 of the family's 3401-position model. Lineage: Eukaryota; Fungi; Ascomycota; Pichiomycetes; Serinales; Debaryomycetaceae. The record is from RNAcentral.